Molecule: RNA transcript, 5343 nt
Organism: Dermacentor albipictus
Lineage: Eukaryota; Metazoa; Arthropoda; Arachnida; Ixodida; Ixodidae
Gene name: monocarboxylate transporter 13-like
Source: RefSeq, a predicted model, not a curated record
UUGAUUUCAUCCGUGAUGCAACGUUAUUCGAGUGAUUGCGUCACACAGGCAAAGCGGUCGAAGACGAAGUAUUAUUCAUCGCGAGCUUCAUCACUCGACAUGUUACAAGGCGCGAACUAAUUAACGGCUCGGCUUACCCUCUCAGUUUGUUUAGUUGUUUUAACAAUUGCGUCAGACGACGACACUGAUCAACAGCGUUACAGUAGACAAUGAUUUUUGUUCUUUUUUCACCACAAACAGCGGCGGCGAACCCGGAAGACCUUGCCGAAUCUCUCUGGAGCGCAAAAAGCGAGAUAGGAAUGGCAGGCCGCGAACUGGGAAAAGCAAACAAGAAGCUAGCUGCUGCGCAGAGCGUUAAGAAACGCAUGCCCACCAAGCUCAUGCUCGGUCAGUUCCCCGGCGAAGGUUUCAGGCACCAGGCCUGAUCACCGCGGGGUGUGCGACCGCCGGCCGCUCUCACUCGGCGCAAAUCGCAAUUUUGUUGACCGCGCGCGCGUUGUUAACAACGCCCUGCGGUCUUGAUAGCGCGCGAGCCACCGAAACCAGACACCGACGGCACCAACUCGAAGCGGCAGCUGCUCGCUGGCUGUUGGAGCCGGAUCGGCCCGAGUGGGACCCGGCGCAGGGCACAGUGCGGUCGGCUUUCCCUGACCGUGGCUUCAUUUGGACAGCUGCUCGCACCCGCCUUUUAGGUUUAAGCCGAACUCUUUCGUACAUAGUACGCCGCAUGAAGACCGUUUGGGUAGCGCAGUAGUUAUGUCUGCUUGACUGUGAAGUGCUGUUUACAGGCAUCUGUAAACUGUUCGAGCCGUCUCGUUGCCUUCGAAAGGUGGUGCGUCAGUGCCGAUUCUGUGCGAGUGACUGUGCUUCUCCGAGGGAGGUGUUGCGCCUGCGGACAAGUGCGCAACGAGUGUUGUGGCACCCUCCGGGAGGACGCCACGCCGUGUGAACCUGGCGUCGAGGCUUCCUGACGUUAUCGCCCUGGUCUUCGGUUCAUCGUAGUCGUGGCAGCACCCGGAACCUUACUGCAAUUCAAACGGUGACAGUCAGCGACAAGACCCAUCCGAACCAUGACGCUGCCGGACUCUCGGGCCUGUUGGCCCGUGGCCAUCUCUGCGGCCAUCUACGUGUUCGUGGCAAUGAUGCUAAUCAAGUCUGAGUCUGUCAUCUACAUUGGCUUUAUGGACAUGCUGAAGGUUAACAGACAGGACGCCUCCUGGCCCCUUACCGUGGCUAUCAUCGUGUCACAGUUGGCAGGCCCCGUGUACGGCAUACUGGGCAUGUGGAUGUCCGAGCGUGCCAUGCUGGUGUGCGGCGCCCUGCUGUGCGCGCUGCCGGUGAUGAUCUGCUCGCUGGCCAACAGCCUCGCACUCGUCGUCUUGCUGUACGGCGUGAUUUACGGCCUUGGUGUGGCGUGUGAAGAAGUGCUCCCCUUCACCGUGGUGGCCCGCCAUUUCGUGAGGUAUCGGGGCACCGCCAUGAGCUUGCUCUUCGUCGUGACAGCGAUAUCGGGCUUCGUGUCCCCUCUCAUCACUGAGGCCUUGCGCCAGGCGCUAGAUUUCCGGGUCGCUCUGCUGGUGCUCGGAGCCCUGCAGCUCAACAUGCUGUUCGGCUGCAUCUUCGUCAACCGUGUGCCGCCGUCCAGAGAGCCCGACUGCGACCAGGAUGACGACCACAGCACGCAGCCCGUCACCAGCCGGAUUCGCAGGAGCAGCUUUCAGACUGCUUCGUUCGCGCACUCCUGCUCCAAGGACCUCGUCACUUCUUUUGCGAUCGGCGCCGAACCAGCCCUUGGCGAUCAGCAGUCGGCCGAGUCGAAGCCUUUGCUUGGAAAGAAUCGCGGAGCCGGCAGCCGACUCAAGCGCAAACUUCGGUCGCUGUUUACCGUAGCGUUCGCACACAUCAGUGCCUCCCGCGCUCUCUCCGUGCUCGUGCUGGCGUCGUUCCUGCUAACUGCCGUCGAUUUCGGCAAGGACAACGGGCUGGAGGGCUACGAGGCCGUCGCCCUCGUCACCGCUGUCGCGCUCGGCGACCUGGUGUCCCGCAUAGGCACGGGCCUCCUGCUGGAUUUCAAGUUGAUGAGCGCAGACUGCCUGAUGAUGUGGGGAUUCGGCGUCCAGGCCGCGGCGCUGGCCACCACUGCGCUGGUCAAGCAGUACUGGCUGUUGCUGGUCAGCUGCUUCAUAGUAGGCAUGUCCGGUGGCGGUCGCAUCUUCGCCAGCACCGUCAUGGUCUCCGAACGGGUCGACCAAGAUUCGCUGUCCCUCAGUCUUGGGGUGAUGAACUUCAUCGCGGGCGUCGUGUGCCUCGCGAGGCCACCACUCAUCGGUUACGUGCGAGACGUGCUUGGUUGCUACGACCCGCUGUACAUCGCUUUCGCCAUCGCCAACGCCAUCUUCACAGUCACGUGGGCGGCCAGCCUGUGCUGCGAGACGCGCCGUCGCAGUAUUGACGAUAGACAAGGCGCCAUCCCGUCAGCGCAAGAAAGGCACCGUGUGGAAGACUGAGCGACAUCCAAAGGCGCCGAGAUUCGUUGUGAUAUAGGAAGAUUAUCUUGAUUUUUCUAUGUGCAACCAGUUGCGAGGAGCCUCACGUGCAUGAUCGCGCGAGCGAACGCUGUUGGUUUGCUAUGGCUGGCUGUUGGUGGGCUAUCAACGAGGCUAUGGGGGCAUCUUGAAGAUGCUUCAAGCCGCUGUUUUUUUUUCCAAAAUUGUUUCUAAGAAAACAGAAGUCUUAUAGUAGGUCAAACCAAGCAGGUAUACUUCCGCGAAUGAACACCCCUUGCUAAAGGGCCUCAUGAGAGGCAACGCAGGGCUAAUUAUAAGCUUCGAGCCGGAAGCCUACUCACUGUAGACUGACACCCAGGUUCAUUGUUUCCAAAGCAAAGAAAUGGCAGCCAACAAACUCGUACGACACUCCGUCACCUAGAGUCAUCUAUUCGAGUAGUGGAAAUGGUACACCAGACCUGUGACGCCUCUUCUGGUUUUGUCAAGCACUGAACCGCAUCAGUAACAAGCCCAAAGGCAGGCGUUACACAUUGUAGUCCCGUGCUGUUCAUUUGCCUCUCUAGCGCGGUUUGCCAGAGAACCAAACCUCGUUACGUUUUCUAGUCGUCCCCUUGCUAUCUGCUAUCUAGGGGGCUUUUCCUGUGCACUCUGUUUAAUGACAUGAUUCCACUCGGACGGAAAUUUACUCUGUCAAGCACGGCGUGACGAAAAUGCUGAUGCCAAAAUCACCGCGGCCUACUCGGAAACAUUCCCGUUACAUUCUAUGCCAGUCGAGCAAUGCCGAAUGACGCCAUGCAUCGUAGUGCACAGACCUUGUGCUAUCCCGGAGGCGUACGCACAGGCCUACUACCGCUCUGCUCCGUCGAGGAGCGCUCGUGCCGAGAGUGAAAGUGAGAGUGAGAAUGAGAGCGAGGGUGACGCGGCGUCGUGGCGAUGCUGUCUCCUCUCGCGCCACUCUCGGUGCGUUGCUGCGGCAGCAGGUGUUCCCUUUUGCCCGCUCUGCUCUGUCAAGGAGCAACUCGUCACGUGGCGUCGCAGCUAAUGGCGUUGCGAGUUCGGGUGCUGUUUCAUUGCUCCAGACGACAGACGCCGGUUUUUUUUCGUUCGAUGGGCCAUUUCGCGCUUUCGCAUAAAAAAAAAAUAAAGGAAAAAGCAAAGAGUUGCUGCAAUAUGAAGAAUGAGAACAAUUUGUUUAAGUUGAAAGGGGGGGGGGAUGCAGUGAAGGGGUGGCGACAUGCGUCGCCAGGAAAGAUAUUCUGAAAUAACCAAGCUACAGAGCCGCACUAUAAGGUGAAACUUCCAAGGAAUUCAGGAAAGAGAGCGAUAGCUGCAGCUGCGGUCAUUUGAGGUCUAUCUCUCGGCGGGGGGCUAUAAGUGCGCGUGCCGCUUGGACGUUUAUACUUUGCCUGCUUUGCUACAGUGUUGCAGUGCCACAUCGCAACAACUGCAUGAAUUAGGGACACGCGCAUUUAGCGUAACGAUCCGUAACAAACGCGUGCGCACGCCACAGGGGAAAUGCCCACGCGAGGCGCCGGAAUGGUGCGGAUGUAGCGCGAACCAGCAACGUUUCCGCGGCAUAGGCGCACGUAAUGCCCAUUGUGGCUGGGAGGCGGAAGUAAGGUGAGCAAAUAGGCUUAUCUCACGACGUGAACAAGCAAGGUGCUUCAGGGGAAGGGUGUGUCGUGUGAGAGGGAAGAGGAAGAGAUGCAAAGCACAAGAACACUGAGGCGGAAACAUUCGUCGCGCGCGCCGGCAAAGUUGCCUGUCGUGAAACGAUGAUUGCUCCACGCGCUGGUGGUACAGAUUUCGGGAAAGGAACAGAAAACAGAAGGAAAGAGGCAAACAGGACAGCAGUCAGGGAGAGAGAGCUGGAUGCGGCUACCUGGGUUCGGAGACCUGCAGAAAGCGAGGGGUGGGGUAGGACAAUAGUUGAGGCAUUCUUCGCGGGUAAGGACAGUGGGAGUAGGCUCUUGAGAACCUGCCAGUGCUGGUAGGGGGUCGCAUCAGUCGUUUGUGCGUUGCCGACAACACGCAACACAAAUUGCACCUCGUUCUCUUCGGGACACCGAAGGGUGCCGUCAUCGUAGGUGGGACGCCCACUGCGUGCGUUAUUUUUAUCUCGAAAACCUUGAAAGAAGUGCGCGACACCGGGCUCUCGUGAAGGGGGAUGUGGCGAGCGGAAUACGUGCCCAGAAAAAGCAGACACUGCCGUUACUUCUUGUCAUCCCUACUUCCCCGUCUCGUCUUUUUCACCUCCGCAGACCAUGCUCUCCGCCUAUAGUGCCACCCUUUUCGAUCCACGUUUUUUUUCUUUCUCCCCUGCGCGUGCCGUUGCCUAUCCUGCUCACCUUCUUCUGCAUUGCAGCGCAACCCUUCUCCGCCUCCUCCUACAGUCGUGCUUUACCUUCCCCUUUCCGCCCUUAUAGCAUCCCUAUGUUGUUCUAUUUGUUCUUCUUCCGCAAAUAAAGGGGGAGCUGAAGUAGUGGCAAAGCACGAUGGAUUCGGGAUGCUGAGUGCGUAUUUUAUCUGACAGGAGAAAAACGCAAGGGGGGGGGGGUGGCGCUAACUCAGCCUCCCCGUUUUCCCUGCCGCGUUUAGUUCCUUUUUCUUCCCGGCACAUUUCGUGACUGCCGCAUUGCACACGCAUGCCCGCGCUUGUUCAUGCGCGGUGACGCCUUACCCUGUAUUGUACGUGUGCUGAGGGGACGGCGACGGCAUUGUCUUUCAUUUUCUUUUUUUCUGUCUCUCCUCGACUCGUUCGCGGUGUUUAUGAUAGCCGCGGAGAAUACGUCUUGUUCCGGCCACCACUAGCGUAAGAGGACGGUGGGUUGCGUAC